CAGGGCAAUUGUCUUGUAAUUGGAAUGAUGGUGACGUAAAAUCUCACCAGAGUAACAAUUGGAGGGCAAGUCUGGUGCCAGCAGCCGCGGUAAUUCCAGCCCCAAUAGCGUAUAUUAAACUUGUUGCAGUUAAAAAGCUCGUAGUUGUAUUUUUGCGUUAGCGGUUUGACCAUUUGGUUGGUUAUUUCGUUUUCGCUUUUGGGAAUUUCCCUUUUUACUUUGAGAAAAUUAGAGUGUUUCAAGCAGACUUUUGUCUUGAAUACUUCAGCAUGGAAUAGUAGAGUAGGACUUUGGUUCUAUUUUGUUGGUUAUUGAACCUUAGUAAUGGUUAAUAGGAACGGUUGGGGGCAUUCGUAUUUAACUGUCAGAGGUGAAAUUCUUAGAUUUGUUAAAGACGAACUACUGCGAAAGCAUUUGCCAAGGACGUUUCCAUUAAUCAAGAACGAAAGUUAGGGGAUCGAAGAA
RNAcentral lists this ribosomal RNA (465 nucleotides) under Babesia canis. RNAcentral's name for it is "SSU rRNA". It matches the Rfam family "Eukaryotic small subunit ribosomal RNA", at positions 486 to 1005 of the family's 1831-position model. Lineage: Eukaryota; Apicomplexa; Aconoidasida; Piroplasmida; Babesiidae. The record is from RNAcentral.